This 798-nucleotide ribosomal RNA is filed under the name uncultured Burkholderia sp. RNAcentral describes it as "bacterial SSU rRNA". It matches the Rfam family "Bacterial small subunit ribosomal RNA", at positions 79 to 876 of the family's 1533-position model. Lineage: Bacteria; Pseudomonadati; Pseudomonadota; Betaproteobacteria; Burkholderiales; Burkholderiaceae. The record is from RNAcentral.
UUGCACCUGGUGGCGAGUGGCGAACGGGUGAGUAAUACAUCGGAACAUGUCCUGUAGUGGGGGAUAGCCCGGCGAAAGCCGGAUUAAUACCGCAUACGAUCUACGGAUGAAAGCGGGGGACCUUCGGGCCUCGCGCUAUAGGGUUGGCCGAUGGCUGAUUAGCUAGUUGGUGGGGUAAAGGCCUACCAAGGCGACGAUCAGUAGCUGGUCUGAGAGGACGACCAGCCACACUGGGACUGAGACACGGCCCAGACUCCUACGGGAGGCAGCAGUGGGGAAUUUUGGACAAUGGGCGAAAGCCUGAUCCAGCAAUGCCGCGUGUGUGAAGAAGGCCUUCGGGUUGUAAAGCACUUUUGUCCGGAAAGAAAUCCUUGGUUCUAAUAUAGCCGGGGGAUGACGGUACCGGAAGAAUAAGCACCGGCUAACUACGUGCCAGCAGCCGCGGUAAUACGUAGGGUGCGAGCGUUAAUCGGAAUUACUGGGCGUAAAGCGUGCGCAGGCGGUUUGCUAAGACCGAUGUGAAAUCCCCGGGCUCAACCUGGAACUGCAUUGGUGACUGGCAGGCUAGAGUAUGGCAGAGGGGGGUAGAAUUCCACGUGUAGCAGUGAAAUGCGUAGAGAUGUGGAGGAAUACCGAUGGCGAAGGCAGCCCCCUGGGCCAAUACUGACGCUCAUGCACGAAAGCGUGGGGAGCAAACAGGAUUAGAUANCCUGGUAGUCCACGCCCUAAACGAUGUCAACUAGUUGUUGGGGAUUCAUUUCCUUAGUAACGUAGCUAACGCGUGAAGUGACCGCCUGG